CGUCGUCCCCGUCGUUUUGGUCCGCUCGGCUCGCUAAUCCGGUCCCCGAUGGACGGAGUGGCCAGAUAGCUUUGGUUGGCCUUGAGGAGUUGCAGAGGUGAAGUCAUAAGGGUUGGAGAGCGUGUCCUGCUAGUCGGUUGUAGGAUAGUUCCCAUUUCGUCGAGCUGGUCUAUUUUGUAGAAAGUCCAGUGUUGUAUUUAAACCCUUUGUGUUUGUAAAUGGGUGUUUGGUAUUGUGAUUGA
This is a long non-coding RNA of Eucalyptus grandis, 242 nucleotides long. RefSeq lists it as uncharacterized. The record is from RefSeq and is a predicted model, not a curated record. NCBI's taxonomy places the organism in Eukaryota, Viridiplantae, Streptophyta, Magnoliopsida, Myrtales, Myrtaceae. The transcript has 2 exons.